This 65-nucleotide transfer RNA is filed under the name Dipodomys ordii (Ord's kangaroo rat). It matches the Rfam family "tRNA". From Rfam's summary of the family: Transfer RNA (tRNA) molecules are approximately 80 nucleotides in length. Their secondary structure includes four short double-helical elements and three loops (D, anti-codon, and T loops). The record is from Rfam by way of RNAcentral. Lineage: Eukaryota; Metazoa; Chordata; Mammalia; Rodentia; Heteromyidae.
GGUGGCUCAGUAGUAGAGCACUUGCCUUGCAUGCAAGAGGCCCUGGGUUCGAUUCCUCAGCACCA